Molecule: ribosomal RNA, 372 nt
Filed under: uncultured organism
Description: partial 16S ribosomal RNA
Rfam family: Bacterial small subunit ribosomal RNA
Source: RNAcentral
AUAGGGAGCGAGCGUUAUCCGGAAUUAUUGGGCGUAAAGAGUGUGUAGGCGGUUUAUUAAGUCUGAUGUGAAAGACCCCCCGGGCUUAACCCGGGGGAGGGUCAUUGGAAACUGGUAGACUUGAGUACAGUAGAGGCAAGUGGAAUUCCAUGUGUAGCGGUAAAAUGCGUAGAUAUAUGGAGGAACACCAGUGGCGAAGGCGGCUUGCUGGGCUGGAACUGACGCUGAGACACGAAAGCGUGGGGAGCAAACAGGAUUAGAUACCCUGGUAGUCCACGCCGUAAACGAUGGGCACUAAGUGUUGGUAGAGAUAUCAGUGCUGUAGUUAACGCAUUAAGUGCCCCGCCUGGGGAGUACGGUCGCAAAGACUGA